RNAcentral lists this unclassified non-coding RNA (329 nucleotides) under soil metagenome. RNAcentral describes it as "partial contains 5.8S ribosomal RNA, internal transcribed spacer 2, and large subunit ribosomal RNA". The stretch from base 1 to 120 matches the Rfam family "5.8S ribosomal RNA", at positions 35 to 154 of the family's 154-position model. The record is from RNAcentral.
GAUGAAGAACGCAGCGAAAUGCGAUAAGUAAUGUGAAUUGCAGAAUUCAGUGAAUCAUCGAAUCUUUGAACGCACAUUGCGCCCCUUGAUAUUCCGAGGGGCAUGCCUGUUCGAGCGUCAUUAUAACCCCUCAAGCUCAGCUUGGUGUUGGGGCCUGCUGCACUGGCAGCCCUUAAAAUCAGUGGCGGCGCCAUCUGGCUCUAAGCGUAGUAAUUCUUCUCGCUAUGGAGUCCUGGUGGAUGCUUGCCAUCAACCCCCAAUUUUUCUAUGGUUGACCUCGGAUCAGGUAGGGAUACCCGCUGAACUUAAGCAUAUCAAUAAGCGGAGGA